This 254-nucleotide ribosomal RNA is filed under the name uncultured bacterium. RNAcentral describes it as "partial 16S ribosomal RNA". It matches the Rfam family "Bacterial small subunit ribosomal RNA", at positions 524 to 776 of the family's 1533-position model. The record is from RNAcentral.
UACGGGGGGAGAAAGCGUUGUUCGGAUUUACUGGGCGUAAAGGGCGCGUAGGCGGCCAGAGCAAGUCAGUUGUGAAAUCUCCGGGCUUAACUCGGAAAGGUCAACUGAUACUGCGCGGCUAGAGUGCGGAAGGGGCAACUGGAAUUCUUGGUGUAGCGGUGAAAUGCGUAGAUAUCAAGAGGAACACCUGCGGCGAAGGCGGGUUGCUGGGCCGACACUGACGCUGAUGCGCGAAAGCCAGGGGAGCGAACGGG